RNAcentral lists this non-coding RNA (76 nucleotides) under Geoalkalibacter subterraneus. RNAcentral describes it as "c-di-GMP sequence". It matches the Rfam family "c-di-GMP-I riboswitch aptamer". Rfam says of the family: GEMM was predicted in a large-scale screen for bacterial structured RNA regulatory elements. Genes associated with GEMM are involved in a diverse array of functions, including chemotaxis regulation, signal transduction, secretion and chitin. The record is from Rfam by way of RNAcentral. Lineage: Bacteria; Pseudomonadati; Thermodesulfobacteriota; Desulfuromonadia; Desulfuromonadales; Geoalkalibacteraceae.
CUCCGUAAAGGGUAAACUCAUCGCAAGGUGGGGACACAAAGCCUACGGGUCCCACAGGGACGGCCGGGUUGUCGGA